Molecule: ribosomal RNA, 251 nt
Filed under: uncultured Streptococcus sp.
Lineage: Bacteria; Bacillati; Bacillota; Bacilli; Lactobacillales; Streptococcaceae
Description: partial 16S ribosomal RNA
Rfam family: Bacterial small subunit ribosomal RNA
Source: RNAcentral
GAGUUGCGAACGGGUGAGUAACGCGUAGGUAACCUGCCUCUUAGCGGGGGAUAACUAUUGGAAACGAUAGCUAAUACCGCAUAAAAGUCGACAUUGCAUGAUGUUGACUUGAAAGGUGCAAUUGCACCACUACCAGAUGGACCUGCGUUGUAUUAGCUAGUUGGUGAGGUAACGGCUCACCAAGGCAACGAUACAUAGCCGACCUGAGAGGGUGAUCGGCCACACUGGGACUGAGACACGGCCCAGACUCC